AUUGAACGCUGGCGGCAGGCCUAACACAUGCAAGUCGAACGGUAACAGGAAGCAGCUUGCUGCUUUGCUGACGAGUGGCGGACGGGUGAGUAAUGUCUGGGAAACUGCCUGAUGGAGGGGGAUAACUACUGGAAACGGUAGCUAAUACCGCAUAACGUCGCAAGACCAAAGAGGGGGACCUUCGGGCCUCUUGCCAUCGGAUGUGCCCAGAUGGGAUUAGCUAGUAGGUGGGGUAACGGCUCACCUAGGCGACGAUCCCUAGCUGGUCUGAGAGGAUGACCAGCCACACUGGAACUGAGACACGGUCCAGACUCCUACGGGAGGCAGCAGUGGGGAAUAUUGCACAAUGGGCGCAAGCCUGAUGCAGCCAUGCCGCGUGUAUGAAGAAGGCCUUCGGGUUGUAAAGUACUUUCAGCGGGGAGGAAGGGAGUAAAGUUAAUACCUUUGCUGAUUGACGUUACCCGCAGAAGAAGCACCGGCUAACUCCGUG
Molecule: ribosomal RNA, 490 nt
Filed under: uncultured bacterium
Lineage: Bacteria
Description: partial 16S ribosomal RNA
Rfam family: Bacterial small subunit ribosomal RNA
Source: RNAcentral